AUAAAGAAGAGGAAUGUUAUACUAACAUCUUCAGCUACAUCAAGAAAGAAUUUUCAACAUUCACAUCACAGUCAUACAUGUCAGAUUUCGAGAAAGGCCUUCACAAUGCAAUCGAACGUACUUUUCCUGGAAUAAUGCCAAGGCACUGUUACUUUCACUAUGCGCAAGCCCUGUUUCGCAAGGCAAAAAAAUUCGGGCUAAUAUAAAAAAAAAAAAAAAAACAAAAGAAUUGUACCAGAAAUUUUUAUAGUUCUCCAUUUAAUUAAGUUAUUGGCACUGUUACCUGCCCAAUUGAUAAUGGAAGUAUAUAAUCUAGUGAAAAAAAAGCUAAAGAAACACACGGGGGAACUUUCAAUAAAUUUUUUUCAUAUUUUGAAAGUUAUUGGCUUUUUAAAAUGAAACCUGAAAGCUUUACUGUUUAUGGCAUGUUAAGUGACAGAACCAACAACCAUCAGGAAUCUUUUCAUCGAAAUAUAAAUAAGUUAGUAGCGGCACAUUCACAUACCAACGUUUUCAUUAAUGGAUUAAAAAAAGUUUUUGAAAAAUCACGUUGAAUUAAGGCGCAAAUAGAAAUUGGGACGUAUUGCACUC
Long non-coding RNA from Cotesia glomerata, 591 nucleotides. RefSeq lists it as uncharacterized. The record is from RefSeq and is a predicted model, not a curated record. The transcript has 3 exons. NCBI's taxonomy places the organism in Eukaryota, Metazoa, Arthropoda, Insecta, Hymenoptera, Braconidae.